GGCUUCGUGGUAGAGUGGUAAUGAUACUUGCCUCUCACUCUCGAGUCCCGGGUUCGAUCCCCGAUCGAGGAGCUA
Molecule: transfer RNA, 75 nt
Filed under: Rhamnusium bicolor
Lineage: Eukaryota; Metazoa; Arthropoda; Insecta; Coleoptera; Cerambycidae
Description: tRNA-OTHER
Source: RNAcentral